Molecule: long non-coding RNA, 450 nt
Organism: Notolabrus celidotus (New Zealand spotty)
Lineage: Eukaryota; Metazoa; Chordata; Actinopteri; Labriformes; Labridae
Exons: 3
Source: RefSeq, a predicted model, not a curated record
UACCAGCUUAUACUGAAUAAAAAGAGCAAGUGAGCAGAAGAUUCGGGAAAUGAGCCUCUCUCGAAGCAGCAGGGCUGAAUAAAUGGACUGAGCCAGCCCAGCCAUUAACCUGGACCUGUUUCAGCUUUGACAGAUAACAGAGACCUGCCUCUAAUGAUGCCAGACAGUCACAGCACUUUAAUUAAGGGUUGAAACAGCACAAAAUUGGCUGCCUUGUUAAGGUGGUUGCAUUACCAGCAGACAGAAAUAUGCCGUAACCUGUGGACCACUCCCAUUUGGCCCACUCUUCGAGCAAGGAGGCCGUGGAGCUGAACUUCAUAAGUGCAGCAGUUCAUUGAAAUUCAUGUGGGAAGAGUGUAUAAAAAUGUCGGUCGGAUCUCUGCAGAGGACCUAUUUCACGUUAAAUAAAAUGUUUCAGUUGGAUGGAAACCUCGUUGGGAUGUCACUGAG